CCCCGGGUGGGGCGAACGGAGGACUCUAAGAGCCCCUAGCCUGCAACCCUGAUUCUAGACCUUCAGACUCCCCUAUCAAGGGUCAAGUCCUCGGUAACCUGCAUACUAGUCUCCCCUUUUAUUCAUUUUCAAGAAAUUAUGCACCAAUUUUUUGACGGAGGAUACCUGGUAACCAUGGCAUGACGUCUUGUUCAACCUCAGUGUUCACUAUGAGCAGCUUCGUACAUAGCUAUAGCUGUCUUUUCCCAUAUUCCUAUAUGUUAAAAAAACUCUUUUGUCUUCAGCACAUGUAUCUCUAGAUCUGAUCAUCCUUAAAUUGACACACUACUAAAAGAUGCAACACAUAAUCCGAUAAUUUCUUGAUUUGCUUGGAUUCUAGGGAACGAGUAGUACUUCCAUGGUCAGUGUGAUUUUCUAAGUAAUAUCAUUGUAUACUGGUAAAAUAAGACUUGUCCGAUUCUGCCAUUUAAUCGAAGACCAGGGAAUCACAUCGAGGUUCAGUCUCGCACUGGAUCAGGCCAAAGCACUAAGAUAAAGUAUCAAGCUCGAGAAUCGAGGUGCUCGUCGAGAUCUGGGCCAAUAACGAUCGAGACCAUAUAAUAUAUGGCACUCCGAACGAAGCGCAAUAACGGAAAUGCGAGAUAUCCGUAACCGGUCGAAGAUCAUGGUGAAAAUCCCGGAACAAAUCAAGUCAAGAGCGAUUGUUUAGGCUAAUCCUGGGAUUUACUUUUGUAAUUAGGGUUAUACCAUAAUUAGGACUCCUC
This 764-nucleotide long non-coding RNA is filed under the name Nicotiana benthamiana. Its description in RNAcentral is "long non-coding RNA (NBEN_LNC002956)". The record is from RNAcentral. Lineage: Eukaryota; Viridiplantae; Streptophyta; Magnoliopsida; Solanales; Solanaceae.